UCUCUCAUUUUGGGGCCUACUUAAUUAAAGGUCCAACACCACAAAAUACAAAGGAACAUAUUAUAUGUAUUAUGUUUCCUGAUUCAACAUGAAAAUCAUGAAAGAGCGAACUGUGACAGAGGAAGUUAUCUUGGCAUCAUAAAAACUUGACAAGGACAUGGAGCACUUCAAGAAGAGAAAGCUUGGUCCAGGAGAUUACCAACUGCAUGAGAAAGAGAAACCAGAACAGCAGUAGGAGAAGUGAAAGGACCAAAUGUAAUAACAGGGUAUGAGGAUGGAGCAAUGAACUGUAUUGUUGAUUCUUUCCUCAGAUCAAUCUGCAGGAGAAUAAAUACAGAGGACUGUUAGGAUAUAUCCAUGUGGGUUACCACAAAAGUUCAUAAUAGGUUAGGUUUUUACUCAACAAUAGCAAUUUUUCCUCCAACAACCCCACCCCAACCCCCCAUCCCUCUCUCAUUUUGGGGCCUACUUAAUUAAAAGGGUAAAUACAAUCAAGCUCCAGAAGUUUUAGUCUGAAAUCAAGCUGCUCCACACUCUUUGCAUGUUUCUUAUUUAAUUCCUCAUUACAAUCCAUCAAUUUCCUCAACUGACAAACAAUAGAAUGCUGAAAAAACCAAUUAAUAAAUCUAAGAAAUAAAAUACAGCAGAAAAAACAAAAGUAAGCUUUGGAAAUUAGGAGUAAAUAUGGGAGUCACUAUAGGCUAGUUUUGAG
This 712-nucleotide long non-coding RNA is filed under the name Citrus sinensis (sweet orange). RNAcentral's name for it is "long non-coding RNA (CSIN_LNC001271)". Lineage: Eukaryota; Viridiplantae; Streptophyta; Magnoliopsida; Sapindales; Rutaceae. The record is from RNAcentral.